CACAUUAUUACGUUUAGAUGUAGAGCUUAGGGAUAUAGUUUAGUGGGGACUGUUAGUGUUAGGUUAGAGGUCGGACUCGAUGAUCUUGAGGUCUCUUCCAACCUAGAAAUUCUGUGAUUCUGUGAUUCUGUGAUUAUGAAACUUGUCUUUGGGGCGAAAGGGAUGAAUAUGUUCAGUGGCAUUAUUCCAGCCUUGUACUUGAGAUAGCUUUUCUUCUACUCCCAUUUCAAGCAAGUGCUAUCACAAGCCACAUUUAGGCACAAACAAAGCAACUAAGAAAAUAGAAAUACACAUUAUUUCAGGCCAUGAAAACAGAACAAGAUGCAGAUGGCCUUCUUCGAAAUCUGGCUUUCUUUCAAUGCGUGUCAGCACAGCUAUAUAUCUCUCUGAGCUACUGUGACAAGAACAGAGAAUAGAUGGAUGACUGUUUUACUGCAGGUUUUGAUAGCAAUUUUGAGAGAUUAGGGCUGUUUUGGAAAGACAAGUUUCAGAGUCUUCUUUCUGAAGGUGUUUGAGAUUAGCAAGUAACUUUAGCAACUCUGAUAUCUCCUUCAGAGACAAUAGAGGUUGAAGGAAAAUCAGUCAUAAAAGAGAAUUUAACUAAGUUUCUUAUCCCCAUGUUUGUUUAGGGAGGGCAUUUUCAGAGGACUGGCAGAGCCAACUUCAUAGGAUGCAUUUCAACAAUGAGAAAGGGCUGUGAUCAAAGGGAAUUAAUAUACUCUUGAACAUGAAACAUCUAAACAUCUACACUGACAUAGCAUGUGGCCUCUUGCAGAAAGAAACGGAAUCAGCAGCCAAUAAAGCAGGGAGAAGAGCUGAAGAUCUUACUAAAGACCUUAAACUGAGCAUUAAUGAUUUCUUAAUAGAAAAAGACUGUUAAAGUUCUGGGACAGUGGUCACAUAAUCACCUACCCUGCUUGAAGAUGACUGACAACUACACAAAAAGACCACAACAUUUGAUGACUAUGGAAGGAAUAAGGAAGAGGAACAAAAGAGAGAAAAAGCUGAAAUAGGCUUUGAAAUAUGUUUGUGUUCUAGGGGAAGCAAAUUACUUCCAAAAUAUGGAAAUGAAGACACAGGGGUAAGAUUUCUCUCUUUAAGGAUGUAUCUUGGAGAAACAGUACUUCUGCUUGGGAGCUGGAUCUGAAUCCAGCUCAGUCUCUCUCUUCUUCACCUAUCCUCCCUCCCCCCCUUCCUCCCCAAGAUAUAAAAGCAAGCCGGGUAGGGAUUUGAACUAUGUUCUGUAUAUGAUUGUUAGUGUUUGUUGGUUUUUAUUUGUUUCUCUGUUUCCUUUUAAAUGCAGUUUUAUCUUUUUAAACAAGAACAUCGAGAUUAUGACUUCAUAGUGACAACAACUCUAAACAAAAACUUAUUACACAAAAUAUUUGAGAAGCUUAGCAAGUCAAGACAGCUUUUGUGAUCCCAGUGAUUACAAACCAUUAUCUUCAUCUUGGUUUGGUAGCUGGUUUUACCAGGACCUGGGAACAGUUUUUCUGACAAGCAGUAUUCAUAUCCCUUCGGCCCAUGAGAAGCAGAAACAAGGUACCAAUAGCUGCAGGAAUAAUGCUUAUUGAUGCAUCAUGUUUCUGUCAGGUCCAGAUAGCUGUUGUAGGGUUUCACUUAACUUGAGUUGUUUUUUCCAUGGACACUUAUGUCUGUGUUCUUUUGUAUAACUUCCCUGUGAAUAAGAGAAAAAGACAUCAACUAAUUCACUUAAACUCAAAGGGGCAUGACAAUCAAAUCAUGACAAUUUAACCAUUAAAAAUGUUUGGUUUUGUUCUUCAAGUACAAAGAGAGCCUAGACAGACAUCUAGAGCUAAGCAAAAUUAAUCUCAGCCUUCAGCA
This 1845-nucleotide long non-coding RNA is filed under the name Anas platyrhynchos platyrhynchos (common mallard). RNAcentral's name for it is "lncRNA (ENSAPLG00000028377.1)". Lineage: Eukaryota; Metazoa; Chordata; Aves; Anseriformes; Anatidae. The record is from RNAcentral.